AACUUGCUGAUCAAUGAAGUGUGAAGACAGAUGAACAGAAACUAAGCUUGGGUUCACGUCUGCAUUUACUGGCCAUCAGAAGUGAGAGCCAUCAAGGACUUGUCCAAAUAAUCUACAGCUAAAGAGACUAUUUGCACCAGAAGGAGCUGCAUUCCUGAUGGAAACCAUUUACAACAUUUAAAAUGAACAAUUUUCAUGGAAACACAACAUGGAUUGAAAUGUAGUGAAUUGGAAAAAUAUAGUUUGUUCACUUUGUCGUCAUUCUGUGAAAGUCUGGAUUUCUUUUCUAUAAAAGUACCUGA
Molecule: long non-coding RNA, 302 nt
Organism: Hemicordylus capensis (graceful crag lizard)
Lineage: Eukaryota; Metazoa; Chordata; Lepidosauria; Squamata; Cordylidae
Exons: 3
Source: RefSeq, a predicted model, not a curated record